RNAcentral lists this ribosomal RNA (646 nucleotides) under uncultured soil bacterium. RNAcentral's name for it is "bacterial SSU rRNA". It matches the Rfam family "Bacterial small subunit ribosomal RNA", at positions 55 to 720 of the family's 1533-position model. The record is from RNAcentral.
AUGCAAGUCGAGCGGAAGGCCCUUCGGGGUACUCGAGCGGCGAACGGGUGAGUAACACGUGAGCAACCUGCCCUUGGCUCUGGGAUAGCUCCGGGAAACCGGGAUUAAUACCGGACAUGACCUCCUGCCGCAUGGCGGGGGGUGGAAAGUUUUUCGGCCAGGGAUGGGCUCGCGGCCUAUCAGCUUGUUGGCGGGGUAGUGGCCCACCAAGGCGACGACGGGUAGCCGGCCUGAGAGGGCGACCGGCCACACUGGGACUGAGACACGGCCCAGACUCCUACGGGAGGCAGCAGUGGGGAAUAUUGCGCAAUGGGCGGAAGCCUGACGCAGCGACGCCGCGUGCGGGAUGAAGGCCUUCGGGUUGUAAACCGCUUUCAGCAGGGACGAAGCGGGAGUGACGGUACCUGCAGAAGAAGCGCCGGCUAACUACGUGCCAGCAGCCGCGGUAAUACGUAGGGCGCGAGCGUUGUCCGGAAUUAUUGGGCGUAAAGAGCUCGUAGGCGGCCAGUUGCGUCCGCUGUGAAAUCCCGGGGCUUAACCCCGGGCGUGCGGUGGAUACGGGCUGGCUGGAGGCAGGCAGGGGAGAACGGAAUUCCUGGUGUAGCGGUGAAAUGCGCAGAUAUCAGGAGGAACACCGGUGGCGAAG